AGGAGUCAGCGGGCCUCGAUCCCACACAAACUAAUUAACAGCUAGUCCGCCCAACCAACGGGCAUUAACGCC
Molecule: transfer RNA, 72 nt
Filed under: Intellagama lesueurii (Eastern water dragon)
Lineage: Eukaryota; Metazoa; Chordata; Lepidosauria; Squamata; Agamidae
Description: tRNA-Asn
Source: RNAcentral